This 24-nucleotide non-coding RNA is filed under the name Xenopus tropicalis (tropical clawed frog). The record is from RNAcentral. RNAcentral also lists the same sequence under 3 other names. Lineage: Eukaryota; Metazoa; Chordata; Amphibia; Anura; Pipidae.
GCUAAGAUCAAGUGUAGUAUCUGU